Molecule: ribosomal RNA, 277 nt
Filed under: uncultured prokaryote
Description: partial 16S ribosomal RNA
Rfam family: Bacterial small subunit ribosomal RNA
Source: RNAcentral
UACGUAGGGUGCGAGCGUUGUCCGGAAUUACUGGGCGUAAAGAGCUCGUAGGCGGUUUGUCGCGUCGUCCGUGAAAACUCGGAGCUUAACUCCGGGCGUGCGGGCGAUACGGGCAGACUUGAGUACUACAGGGGAGACUGGAAUUCCUGGUGUAGCGGUGAAAUGCGCAGAUAUCAGGAGGAACACCGGUGGCGAAGGCGGGUCUCUGGGUAGUAACUGACGCUGAGGAGCGAAAGCAUGGGUAGCGAACAGGAUUAGAUACCCCGGUAGUCCCUGA